This 346-nucleotide ribosomal RNA is filed under the name uncultured bacterium. RNAcentral's name for it is "partial 16S ribosomal RNA". It matches the Rfam family "Bacterial small subunit ribosomal RNA", at positions 373 to 710 of the family's 1533-position model. The record is from RNAcentral.
GGGCGAANGCCUGACGGNAGCAACGCCGCGUGAGUGAUGAAGGUCUUCGGAUCGUAAAACUCUGUUAUUAGGGAAGAACAWAUGUGUNAGUAACUNUGCACNUCUUGACGGUACCUAAUCAGAAAGCCACGGCUAACUACGUGCCAGCAGCCGCGGUAAUACGUAGGNRRMAARCGUUAUCCGGAAUUAUUGGGCGUAAAGCGCGCGUAGGCGGUUUUUUAAGUCUGAUGUGAAAGCCCACGGCUCAACCGUGGAGGGUCAUUGGAAACUGGAAAACUUGAGUGCAGAAGAGGAAAGUGGAAUUCCAUGUGUAGCGGUGAAAUGCGCAGAGAUAUGGAGGAACACC